AAUCACAACUUCUCCGUAAUUGGUCGACGUGACCACCGUUUUUCUCAGAGCAGCUUGCUUCGUCUUCUCCGUUGGGUCUGGUGAAUUCCUGACUCUGAUUCUCGCAUGAUUUUCCCGGAAAAUCGACACUUUCUUUAUGGGUUUUCAUAUGCGAGAGAGAAUUAAUCGAAUCUGCUUCAUUUGAAUCCAUACACUCUCUAAAAACCCUAACUUUCUCUUUCGUCUCUGUUUCAGAUCCAUCACCGUCGAUUUCCUCCAAACCCCGAUUAAUCUCAAUUCUUACAUCUGAAUUCAGGUCUCUGUUGUCUGAAUCAUCCCUCUCUUUGAAAUCAGAUUCAUCCCUCUCUCUCCCAAGAUGAUCUUGACCUUCUUC
This 373-nucleotide long non-coding RNA is filed under the name Arabidopsis lyrata. RNAcentral's name for it is "long non-coding RNA (ALYR_LNC002861)". Lineage: Eukaryota; Viridiplantae; Streptophyta; Magnoliopsida; Brassicales; Brassicaceae. The record is from RNAcentral.